UGCGCCUUGCCAGCCCGCUCAGAAACUCAAAGGAAUUGACGGGGGCCCGCACAAGCGGAGGAACAUGUGGUUUAAUUCGAUGAUACGCGAGGAACCUUACCUGGGCUAGAACGCAUUCGGAAUCAGGCCGAAAGGCCUGCGCCAGCGAUGGCCGCUUGCGAGGUGCUGCAUGGUUGUCGUCAGCUCGUGCCGUGAGGUGUCGGGUUAAGUCCCAUAACGAGCGCAACCCCUACUGCUAGUUGCCAGCGGGUCAUGCCGGGGACUCUAGCGGAACUGCCAGCGUAAGCUGCGAGGAAGGUGGGGAUGACGUCAAAUCAGCACGGCCCUUACGUCCAGGGCUACACACGUGUUACAAUGGCCGGUACAGAGGGCAGCCACCCCGCGAGGGGGCGCGAAUCCCGAAAGCCGGUCCCAGUUCGGAUCGGAGUCUGCAACCCGACUCCGUGAAGCUGGAUUCGCUAGUAAUCGCGCAUCAGCCACGGCGCGGUGAAUACGUUCCCGGGCCUU
This 507-nucleotide ribosomal RNA is filed under the name uncultured Rikenellaceae bacterium. RNAcentral's name for it is "bacterial SSU rRNA". It matches the Rfam family "Bacterial small subunit ribosomal RNA", at positions 903 to 1382 of the family's 1533-position model. The record is from RNAcentral. Lineage: Bacteria; Pseudomonadati; Bacteroidota; Bacteroidia; Bacteroidales; Rikenellaceae.